Molecule: long non-coding RNA, 33795 nt
Organism: Loxodonta africana (African savanna elephant)
Lineage: Eukaryota; Metazoa; Chordata; Mammalia; Proboscidea; Elephantidae
Exons: 3
Source: RefSeq, a predicted model, not a curated record
UUUUCUCCUUGGUGCCUACUACAAUUCACUGCACUCAAGAAAGAACUUUUUUUUUUGGAAAAAAAAAUGAACAUUAAUAUUUAUUGAGUAUUCAUUAUGUUCUAGGGCUCAAGGAGUUCAUUGUGCUUGGAUCCACAAUCAACACCCAUGGAAGCAGUAGUCAAGAAAUCAAAUGAUGUAUUGCAUUGGGAAAUUUGCUGCAAAAGACUUCUUAAAAGUGUUGGAAAGCAAAGAUGUCACUUUGAGGACUAAGGGGCACCUGACCCAAGGCAAUGCCUCAUAUGCCCGUGAAAGUUGGACAAUGAAUAAGGAAGACCUAAGAUGAAUUGAUGACUUUGAAUUACAGUGUUGGCAAAGAAUAUUAACUAUACCAUGGUCUGCCAGAAGAAUGAACAAGUCUGCCUUAGAAGAAGUACAGCCAGAAUGCUUCUUAGAAGUAAGGAGGGUGAGAUCUUGUCUCAUGUACUUUGGACAUGCUAUCAGGAGGGGCCAGUACCUGGAGAAGGACAUCAUGCUUGGUAAAGUUGAGGAUCAGCAAAAAAAGAGGAAGACCCUCGGUAAGAUGGACUGACAAUGGCUGCAGCAAUGGGCUCAAACAUAGCUACAAUUGUGAGGAUAGUACAUGACCAGGCAGUGUUUUGUUCUGCUGUACAUAGGGUUACUAUGAGUCAGAACCAACUAGACGGCACCUAAGAACAACAAUAACAGUAAUUGAAAUAGACAAGAAAGGACCUCCCCCUAGAGUCAAACCCUGAAUUUGGACUUCUACCUUCCGGGUGCUGGGAACCUCCUAAAUUGUGAGAAAGUAGAUUUCUGUUCUUUGAAACAACUCACUUGUCUUAUUUCUGUUACAGAAGCACUAAGAAACUGAGACACAGUUGGAAUAAUAAUGAACUCCUGGAGAAGUGACUCUCAGGAAGGCAUAACCCAUUGCUCAUUCACCCUAUAGAUGGCAUGUUAGAGAGCGCAGCUCUCAAAGGGUGUCUGGAGGUCCCAGGGGAAACCCCGAGACCCUUUCAGGGGUGCAUAAAGGCAAAAUUGUUUCAAUAAUAUGUUAUUUGUCUUUUUCACUCUCAUUCUCUCCCAAACAUAUGGUGGAGUUUUCCAGAAGCUAAACGAAGUGUGAUAUCACAGCAGAUUGAAUGCAGAAGCAGAUAUGAGAAUCCAGCUGUCUUCUUUUAAGGCAGACAUUCAAUAGAUUUGCUAAAAUGUUAAUCAGUGUAAUCCUUCUCAUGAAAUGUUUGUCUGGGAAAAGAUAUUUUUCAUAAAUAUGCUAGUUAUAUUUAACAUAUUUAUUAUUGUAAUUUUUAAAUGAAUUAGUAAAUAUUAUAAAAAUGUUUAAUUUCUAAUACUGUAAAUAGUGAUAGAUAAAAUCCUUAUAGACAAAAGCUUUUUGUGGUCCUUAAUAAUUCUUAUGAGUGUGAAGGAGUCCUAAAACCAAACAGUUUGAGAACUGCUGGUCUAAUGGAUGAGAGCCCAGGAGUUAGUGUGGCUGGGUUUGAAUCCUCACACGUUACUUAACCUCUCUGAGACUUAGUUUCCUUGUCUGUGAAUGAGGCUGCCUCAUACAGUUAUUGUGAGCAACAAAUGAAAUAAUGUGUUUAUAGUACUUUGCACAGUGUUGGGUCCAGAAUGAUCACUUCAUAAAUGUUCAUAUUUAUUUCAUUGGUUGCAUAUCCAUUAUAUGCAUAACCCUAUGCUAAGUGCUGUGAAGAAUAUAAAAUGACAAAAGUCACAGACCUCAAAGAAUUUUUCAUCCAGCAAAGGAGAGAUUUUGGGGGUGUGUAGUUGUCAUCUUUGGGUUCAAUUCCCAGCUCUGCCCUUGACCAGCAACAUGAUCUUGAGCAAGUCACUUCCCAUCGGAUAAAGUUAGAUAAUAAAGGCAUCUAUGAUCUUCAGCUGAAAACUGGGAUUGAUGGGGGGAAGAUUGUCACUGUCACCACACCAUCUGACAUUUAUUGAGCAUUUACUUUGUUUUGGGGCUGUGCCACGUGUUCCCAUGUUUCAUAGCAUGUGAUCUCAGAGCAACACUGGGUUGGGAGGGGGCUGGGUGUGUGGGUAUGAUCACUUGUUUUUAAUUGCUGGACACUUGGACUGUCAACAGCAUGAAACUUGUGGAAAGUUCAACUAGAAGGUGGUGGAGCUGGGUUUAAAUCCAGGUACUCUGAAAAGGUAGGGAUUCUUAAACACCGAUGCUGGAUUAAGAGGCUCCAGAGACAGGGUAAUCAAUUCUACAGGGGAGAAACAUGCCAAUUCCACAGAAGGAAGGCUUACUCUGUGUGACACUGGUCUCAGAGGGAAGUCCUUGGAGCUGAGCUUGGUGUGUUGCAGCAUUUGGUCAGAAGACUAGAGAGUUUGGUCAGUCUGGGGAAUGACACCUCUCAUUGUGAAAUAAUCUUCUUAGUGGCACCUCCAACACUGGCUGUAAGCCCUUAAAGCAGGGACCUAUCUGACUGUUGUAUGCUCUAAGACAGUGGUUCUCAGUCUGAGCCACAAAAACCCCUUUCUGUGACAAAUACAAGGUGAAAUUUAUAGGUAGUGUAGCUUACCUAAGCAUAUAAAACACAGGAAACUUGGAAAGUAAUUAGAAUGAGUGUCAGGCUGGCCUAUACAGAAGACAAAAAAUUGCUGGGACAAAUUUCCAAAGUGUCCACUAGGAGGCGCUGUUCCUAGCCAGUGUUGAGAACGACUCAUAGUCCCUCCGUGGUGAAAUGGGCUGUUUGCCCUUCCCAUUGUAAUCAACUCAUGUGACACUCCUGAGGCGGCACGUUGGUCUCCCAGAGGUCCCCUGGGAGGUAAGGGGGGAAUAAAGAGAGGAAGUCACAGAGUACGGAGGUGACCCCCAUGUUCAUGUGAUAGAUUUCUAGUCAUGUGUAGACACCAUGUGUAAAGUGACAUAAAAAAAAAGUUUUAGUUAUUGAGUCAUUUGCUUAAAAAGUUAUUAUGAAGUAAUAUUUGUUUUAUGUUCAUUGACAUGAUAUUUUUAGGUUACUUUGUAUCAUAAAAAAACAUAGCAAGUGAUAAAUAUUCAUUUUAGAUUUUUCUUUAAAUUGACUCAAUUUUUUCUUUCAUCUAAAUACAUAUAUUUAAUGGGACUUUAUUCUAGCACAUAAAUGAAAAACUUGUAUUACUUGACCUAAUUAGAAAACCCACUGCCCUUGAAGUUGAUUCCAACUCAUGGCGACCCUGUAGGACAGAGUAGAACUGCCCCGUAGAUCUCCAAGGCUAUCAAUCUUUACAGAAGCAGACUGCCCUAUCUUUCUUCCAAGCAGUGGCUCGUGGGUUCAGAUCGCUGACCGUUCAUUUAGCAGCUGAGCACUUUAACCACUGCGCCAUUAGGGCUCACUAAAAUACACACCCACAAAACAAAACAUUGUUAUUCAAUUCUUGCUGAUACUGACACUUGCUUUCCAACAAAGGCCUGCUUUCUAGAAAAAGGGAGUUUAACAAGUUUUAAAGAGAUUUUAAAGACAUUGGCACUGAACUGAAACUAUCCUUAACACUUUAGUUACUACGGGAUGAACGGUAUACCAGACACUUUUUUUUGCUUCUGAACAUGUAGGUAGCACCUUCUUCUGUUAUUCCAAUUCUAACGCAUUUGGUAUCAAGGUGGGUCUCUUCUGAAGUGCGUGAAGCUCUGAAGACGGAGCUGGAGCCUCAUUGUUGCGUAGGUUGAGCAUUCCAUACAAAACUAACACAUCCAGGAAAUACAGAAUGCAGAAUAAGAACAGAAUAAGGUGCUACCUACAGGUUCAGAAGCAAAAAAAUGUCUGGUAUACCGUUCAACCUGUAGUAACUUAAGUGUUAAGGAGAGUUUCAGUUCAGGGCUAACUGCUUUCCUGUGUGACAGUGGAGCCCUGGUGGCACAGUAGUUAAGAGCUUGGCUACUAACCAAAAGGUCAGCAGUUCAAAUCCCCAGGUCAGCAGCUCGAAACCACCAACUGCUCCUUGGAAACCAUAUGGAGGCAGUUCUGCUCUGUCAUAUACAGUUGCUAUGAGUGGCAAUCUAUGUGAUGGCAACAGGUUUGGUUUUUUGUUUUGAUUUUGUGUGAUAGUUAGGGAGCCCUGAUGGGUUUAUUUUGAUUUUUCUUUGUCAUAUUUGGAAAACUGGAGGUUCCCAUUUAACCUAAUAGAAAGGCGCCAGCAAUAAAUCCUCUUUAGUUUUUAUUGGUAUGUUGACACACCACAGAUUGGUGGCGCCAGAGUGUCACUCGCCUUACUGGUGGCUUGUAUUACCUGAUUGUAUUUCUCAAAAUCCAUACUAUGAACUAAAAAUUUAAGCACAAUUAGUAAGCAUGCAUUCCAGUACUGAAAACACAUGCCACCAAAAAAAAAAAAAAAAUUGGUAAUGAAAGGUCAAAGUAAUCAGAAGGACUAAAAGAGAAGGGGAAAGGGAUUAAUUUUCUCUUGUGAUUCAAUGCUAUUUAAAGCUUCAUCUAUGUCCCACCCAAAGCAUCUCUCAUAUAACAGUGGACAAAAUAUCUGCCACUGUGGGCAUAUUGGUAUGGUGGAUGGCUUCCUGGCCUUGGAGUCAAGGGGCCACCUACUAGCUAUAUGUCUUACACCUGUUGCUUGGCCUCCCUGGGCCUCUCUGUCAUCACCUGUAACACGAGGUAGUUGGAGAAGAUCUCUAAAAUUCUUUUGGAUCUAUUUGGAGCCCUGAUUCUCAUUGGAAGGACAUCUAGGACUUAAGAAGGACUUCGUUUUGCUUUGUGCUUACAACCGCUGAAGGAAACUGGUGGCCCUGUCCCUAAUAUUUUUAAACUAGGCACCCGAGAAAGGUGAAUGUGAGUGUACAAGUCCAUCCCACCCACACACGUCCUUGGUGGUCAUGUGAGCGCUGAGUGUAUUUGUGGGGGCUUUAGGACUUCAAGCUUUUUUACAAGUUUAUUUUGUUAAGCACUGAUUGAGCAACCUGUGGCUUUCCAGCCCACAUGCUUCCUGAGUCUUGCCUGGUCACUAGGUGCAGGUGCCUGCAAAUGUGUAUGGGGGAUGGUGGGAGGAAGGCUGAGGAGACAGGAGAAGACAGCAGAGUUUAUCCCUGGUGGCCUUUGAUCUGCUCAACCACCAAGGCAGGCCUGCUAUAGCCGGAGUUCGGCUGAGCAAGGUGGCUAAACGGCACUGGAAGGCAGAUGUUUGGAAAUGCAGCCUUGCUCCUCUCAGAGACUCCUUCUUGUGAGGUCUCUGCUGCCAGUUCUGAGACAUUCCUGACCAGGUUGAAUUCUCUGGAUAAAGAUGUCUUAUUGAGAUGAUAAUGUGAUAAAGCAUCGAAAACCAAAAAACCAAACCCAUUGCCUCUGAGUCAAUUCCAACUCAUGGUGAUGCCCGGGGUGGUGCAAAUGGUUUGCACUCAACUACUAACCUAAAGGCUGGUGGUUUAAAACCACCCAGUGACACCACAGAAGAAAGGCCUGGUGAUCUGCUUCUGUACAGAUGACAGCCAAGUAAACCCUAUGCAGCAGUUCUGCUCUGUAACACCUGGGGUCUCCAUUAGUCUUAAGCAUAGAAAAACCAAACCCAGUGCCGUUGAGUCGAUUCUGACUCAUAGCAACCCUACAGAACAGGGUAGAACUACCACAUAGAGUUUCCAAGGAGCGCCUGGCGGAUUUGAACUGCCGACCCUUUGGUUAGCAGCUGUAGCACUUAACCACUACGCCACCAGGGUUUCCCUUAAGCAUAGAGAGACCUGUUAUUUGAGUUGCAGACCUGAGUUUUUAUCACAAUCAGAUCACUAAUCAGCAAUGUGGCUUAGACAGGACGCUGAACAUCUCUGGUCCUUUCUUUCCUUAUUAGUCAAAUGAAAGAUUAAGUUAUACCAGUGGCUUUUAAGUAAAAAUUUAUGCCUCUCUCUGUGUGUGUGUGUGUGUGUGUGUGUGUGUGUGUGUGUAUGUGCUAGAUAGGUAGAUCAGAGAGCCCCUUGAGAAAAUGAUGAAAGUGAUAAACGUCUCCCUGGAAAAACUUAGGUAACAUUUUAUAUAAAAUUGCUGGAUGUUUCAUACCCCCUUGAUGCCUAUUCAUGGAUUCUAGGUGCCAAACCAUUGAUUCUGUGCCUUAUUCAGCUUGUACAUUUUCUACUCAAGUGAAACUUCAGUUCAUUUGUAAACAUGUGUUCAGUAUAUUCUCCCUCAAACGCCAAUUCCGCCUACCUCAGCCUACCAUGGCCUCCCCAUAUGCUGAGCAGGUUAUUCCCUGCACAAGGUGUCCCCAGCUGCUGUCCAAGCCUUUUUCUAAUUCACAUGGCGACAGAGCAUGGGCCACCCCUACAUUAGUUCCCUGACAGAUGAGGCCUUAUUAAUUCCCUUGUACUUUUCUGUUCAUAUUCAUCUCUAAGUCUCUAUCGUAUGCAGCUGAGACUGGGGAAAGCAAACAGAAACGGAAUGUAGGGAAACAGAAGGAGACGCUAAGUAGAAAGAAACCCAAAAAUCGUCCUUCCUAUCUACAAAUUGCUGGGUGACUGUGGGCAAGCUACAUAAUAUUUUCAAGCAUCAGAGCCAACAUCAAAAUCAAAUUGGCUCUUGCUGUGUCCUGUGGGUGAGAUAAUGGUGGUAAGGGCCCACAGAAAUUCAAGGUCUUAGAUGCUGCUGUUACUGCCAAAUGGAGGAUGAAGAAAGUCUACAAAGUUCUAUAGUGUUGAAUGUCCCACUGCUUCACACCAGGACAUCCACCUUCACAUGGAUUUUUACACAAUUUUUCUUCUUCUUUUUUUUUCCUAAGGGGGUGAAAGGAGGAAGUCAGUGCACAUGACAGUGGUAGGGCUGAAAAAUUCCCUAUUUAGAAAUCUGAUACAAAAGCAAAGUCAUCGUUUUCAAAUCAAAACCUGGCUCCACCUCAUUGGUCUGACUUGGGCUUCUACAGGGGCUUGGGGAGAGGCUUCUUCCAAGGAUGCAUUUGCCUGGAGCUGUAGGGCAGGGGCCGUGUUACCUCUGAGACAGGCCCAGAGAGUAACUGCUGUGAAUGAAGAGCAUACGGCUUACAUCACCAUCUGGUCCCACUCAGGCUCCACUCUGCCCUCUCCUUACCUCUCCAUCCAGCCAUAUGACACGUCUGUAGUUCCUCUAGGUCUGCGUGCGUUCCCUCUCGGGGCCAUCAUGCUUACUGUUUCUCAUGCUUGUGAUUUUGUUUCCUGGCUCUUUGCUUAAGGAGCCCUGGUGGUGCAGUGAUUAAGAACUUGGCUGCUGAUCUCAAGGUCGGCAGUUCGAAUCCACCAGCCGCUCCUUGGAAACCCUGUGGGGCAGUUCUCCUCUGUCCUGUAGGGUCGUUAUGAGUUGGAACCCACUCGAUGGCAAUGAGUUUGCCUGCUUAAAUCCUACUCCUCUUUCUGUUCUCAGCCUUGAAGUCACUUCUGAAGCCUUCUCUGAUGCCUGAGCUUGGAUUAGAUUCCCCAGUGUCCCAUGAAUUCUAUCCUAGCAUGAUUGUGAUUGCUGUUUAACCAGCCUGGACUCCCAGCAGAUUUUAAGGUCUAUGAGAUCAAGGGCUGUGUUUGCUUCACUGUUAAAUUUCUGGCUUCUGGCCCAGUACUUGGUGCGCAAUACCAAAAAAAAUCAGUCAUCAUUGAGUCAAUUCCAACUCAUGGCUACCCAAUGUGUUUCAGAGUAGAAUUGUACUUCAUAGGGUUCUCAGCAGCUAUGAUCUUUCAGAAGUAUAUUGCCCGGGCUUUCUUCCCAGGUGCCUCUGGGCAGAUUGAACUCCCAACCUUUUGGUUAGUAGCUGAGAGCUUAACUGUUUGUGCCACUCAGAGACCCCAAUACACAAUAGGUGCUCAAUAAAUAUUUAUUGAAUGAAUUAAAGGGAAGAUUGCUUAGUUCUUCUGACAGUUUGGAAGUUAAAAGAGUUAAUUGUGUUCAAGUAUAUUAUAUAUAUUAAUAUUAUACAUACCCACAUACUAACAUUAUACAUACCCACAUGUACUCCCAUCUCCCCUUCCAUCUGUUAUGGAAAGCUCAGAUUUAUUGUGUUAACUAUAAGUCUGGAGUUUCUCUUCAACUUCUUCCUCACCUCCCCAGCUAAACAUCCAAGCAGUCACCAAAUCCUAGGCAGUCCAUAUCCUGAGUUCUCUUAGAUUCCAUCUUCUUAUUUCUAUUCUUAAUGGUAUUGCCCUCAUCAUCUCCUGGUUAUGUCAAGAUUCCACUGCUCCUCAACCUUCAGCAUCUACUUUGUUCUGAGUGCUCCUCAUCAUGGCAUUUGAAACCAUAUCUGGAUUGGCUCACUGGUCUCCCAUGAGGGAGGUACCCAUGCUGGGCUCUUGGCCAUUCCUCAGAUGUCCUUAUUGUUUUGUUCUCUUAAUUCAUGCUGUUUCCUCAGCAAGGAAUCCCCAUCUCCUCCGAUGCCCCACCCCCCCAAGUCUGUCUAUUGAAGUUCUACUUAUCUUUCAGGGAUUCGCUCAGAUCCCUCUUCUAAGCAUCUUAAGAAUAAGGAUAUCCCUCUUAAGUAAGGAAUAAAUGUAUCCCUUAAACUCUCUGAAUCUAUUCUGUUCCUGAGUUCAGAUUGCGUGCUUGGAUAUGGAGGAAUAAUGGGUUAUCAAAAACUAAUAGUCUUCUGAUUUUGAGAGAGCAGUAGCUAGCAUUCAGAUAGAGAGCGAUUCCUGUCAUAACAGCAGCCCAUGCUUAUCAUCAUUUACUAACAACCAGGCCCUGGGCUGAGCUUUUUGCCUACUCUCUUUUAUUCUUCACAACAGCUAAAUGGGGAACCAGGAAAGAUAGGCUCUUUAAAUAUCCCCAUUGUACGGAUAAAGAAACUGAGAUUCAGGGAGGUGACCUGAGGUUCCCACAGUCACCCAGCAAGGAAGUGGUGGAGUUGCCCUUUGAAUCUAGUCCACUUCCCUCUAGAGCUUGAGAUGGUAACUGCUGUGCCCUCUGACAGGAAGGGGCCAGGGCUCUGUCCUCUCUGUAUCACCGGUGCACGCAGCGUGGCACUUUGCAUCAAAUCAAUGCUCCAUCAGUUCUCUACAUGAACAAAGCUUUCUAACUGGCAUUGACAGAGUAUAUUUCAUUCUCUUUUAUUAUUAAUAUUGAUAAAAAUGUGAUCCAUAAAUGUGACCCUUUUCUUUAUUUAAAUAGAAGUACGUACUAUACCUGAUUAAAAAAAAAAAAAGAGUACAAGAGUGUAUAGAAUGAAGAUAAAGUUUCAUUCCCUCUACUCAGGCUGCCUAGCCUAAUCCCCAGAGGCAACCACUGCUAACAGUUCUUGUUUAUCUUUCUGGAAAUAUCCCAUGUAUAAAUCAGCAUAUGUGAAUAUAGAUUCCUUUAAAAAAAAACACCACCACAAAUGGGAGCCUACUGGAUGUUGCUCUGCAUCUUGCUGUUUUCAUUUAGAAAUGCGUUCCAAAGAUGGUUUCAUUUUGGCAUAUACAGAUCUACUACAUUCAUUUUAAGGGCUGCCUAGUCAAUGGCAGUGGGUUUCGUUUUUUUUUGGUUUAGUGUUCUUUAGAAUGGAUAUACCAUGAUUUAUUUAAUGCAUACCAUUGAUGGAUGUUUAAGAUUUCUCCUAUUUUAUAAUUACAAGUAAUGUUGCUGUGAUAGUUAAGGUUGUGUGUCAACUUGGCUGGGCCAUGAUUCUCAGUGGUUGGCAGUCACAUGAUCACAUCCAUAAUUAGAUUUGAUAUAAUGUGAUCACCUCCAUGAUGGAAUCUUCUGUGAGUAGCCAAUCAGUUGAAAGGAGUUCUUGGUUGUGUGCCCUGCAUCGAAUAUAAGUGGACAUUCUGGCAAGGCUCGUGGGCUUUUGCUCUUUCUGGAUCCUGCAGCUGGUUCCUGUUCAUCAGUUCAGUUCUUGGGGCUUGAGCUAGCAGCUUACCUUCGGUCUUGCCUGAUGAUCUUGGGAUUCAUCUAUCUUUGCAGCCUGUGAGCAAGAGCCCUGCUCUCUGACCUGCCGAUCUUGGGUUCACCAGCCCCUGUAGCUAUGUGAAUCAGGAGAACCUUCUAUAGUUGGGACAUUCCAGCCUCUACAACUGCGUGAGGCAUUUCCUUGGUAUAAAUCUCUCUCUAUAUAUCUUUAUGCGCUUUACCGGUUUUGUUCCUCCAGAGAACCUAGCCUAAGACAGCUGCAAAGAAUACCCUUGCACACAGUUCUUUGCUGUCAUGGCAAGUGAUCUGUAUCUGUUUAUGUUUAAAUCUGGGGUUUUAACCUUGUGGGUUAGCUGUGGGCAAUAGUUCCCUUUUUAAAAAUGGGAAACCAAGACACAGAGGUUUUUAGGAGUUCUUUCAGAUGACUGGAGAGAGGAAAGAAGGAAGGCAGGGAGAAGGUCAGUAGCCCUAUAAUUCCAAAUUUUCAAAACAGGGUUAGAUUUGAAGGUUAUAAAUAUAGAAAGACAUGGUUCCCCUCCUGACGCCAGUAAGUAAUUUCAUAAAUUUAGUGUAAGAUAUUCCAACAAAAUUCAGAUGUUUUCCCACAGUGACCACAUCGAUGUUUUUGUUGACACAGCAGCUUCUUUUAAAUCAUUACUUUGUUGGUGUUCAUGACUUUCUGGGACCCUAAGCAUUGAUGGUGAGACUUUGGAUCUUACUUUGGACACAUCAUCAGGAAAGACCAAUCACUAGAAAAGAACAUCAUGGUUGGUAAAGUCAGCAAAAAUGAGUGAAACACUCAGUGAGAUGGACUGAUACAAUAGCCAAGACAAUAGACUCAAACAUAGCAACCAUCAUGAAGAUGGCACAGGACUGGGUAAUGUUUCAUUCCCUUAAACAUAAGGUAGCCAUGAGUCAGAGGUGACUCAAGGACAGCUAACAACAACAGCAAGCACAGACAUAGCCUGCCUUCUGGGUGAUCCAGCACUGGCUAGGUGUGAGGAACUGGGCAGCUUCAGGAAAAGUGGGUCUUAUGUCCUGGAACUGGCCAGGGGAAAUGCUCAGAGUGGAACCAAGCACAGAUCUGCAGCCUUAGUCCCAACUGUCUACUCUACAGAUGAGAAAAACUGAAAAUCAGAGUUUAAAGAUGUGACUGUCAAAAACUAUUCAGUAGCAUCUCAAUACAGGUCUUCCAACUCUCAGGCUGGUGACCAUCUCAAGUAAGCGAAACACUAGGAAACCACUCAUAAAUAAACAUAAGCCCUAUUUCUUCGUUUUUGUUUCAUAAAUGCAAACAAGGAACAAGAGACUCACGAGGCUGCUCUAGGUUGAUGGCAUGCUAAAUGUCAGCUCUCCACAUCCUGGCCUGCCCCACAAGGAUAUAUUACUGGAGUGGGAAGUGUGAUUUAGCACGCUCCGUUAGGAACCGGGAAGCAACAGUAAAUGGGCCUCAGGGCUGUAUGUGUGCUCCCGUUGCCCAUCACCCGGCCACUCCAACAGCCAUAACUAUAGCUCGAGGAUGACCAUCAACUGCUCUUCCAUAGUAUUUCAAGCCUGGCAGUGGUGUUAUCUUGUGCCCUGUUAACACUGCUUUGAGAGCUCUGGGCCACUGCACUGAUCAAGGUAAGAUCUGAACCCGCAACACUUCCUGUCAAAAGAACCUUGUAAAUCAAAACUUUCAGAGGAGACAGCAGCUGAAACAGCCUUGGUGGCUGUGAGUUUUGGCGGUGAUGAUCCCCCUGGAAGCUCCUUGGCCUUUACAUGCAUACCAUCAUCAGUUGCUGUUGAGUCAGUUCCAACUCAUGGCGAUCUCCUGUGCAUCAGAAUAGAGCUGUGCUCCACAGGAUUUUCAACGCCUGACUUUUCAGAAGUAGAUCGAUCCCCAGACCUUUCUUCUGAGGAGCAUCUGGGUGAACUCGAACCUCCAACCUUUUGGUUAGCAGCUGAGCGUGUUAACCAUUUACCCCAGACGUAUGACUGUCCUAUUUUUCUUCAUUCUGGCCCAAGUGCAGGCAGGGUGGUAUGGUGCUUAAGGGGCUCAGGAAUAAGGACAAUCUGGAUUCCACUCCUGGCUUCAUUACACACUGCAGGGCACACCUGAGUGAGUUAUUUCAAUCUCAACAAAUUGUCAACCAGGAGCAGGUUCAUUUUCUCUCGAUGCUCUGUGUAUGUAUGUGUGAAAAUAAAAUUAGGAAUUUGGACUCUAGGAUCUUACUUGCUUUACAAAGGCCACUGACUGGAAUGUUAAGAGGCAGUAAAGCCUAGUGGUUAAGAGCAUGUUUCUGGAGCCAGGCCACCUAUGCUUGUGUCCUAUGCUGUGACAUCUUGCACCUUCCAGCUGUGUGACCUUGGACAAAUCACUUCACUGCUCUGUGCCCAAGGUUCAUUGACUCUAAACAGUAAUAACGGUCCUUAACUCACAGGUUGGAAACCCUGGUGGUGUAGUGGUUAAGUGCUACAGCUGCUAACCAAGAGGCCGGCAGUUCAAAUUCCACCAGGCACUCCUUGGAAACUCUAUGGGGCAGUUCUACUCUGUCCUAUAGGGCCGCUAUAAGUCGGUAUUGACUCAACAGCAGUGGGUUUUUAACUCACAGGUUAUUGUGAGGAGAGCAGAUGUGUACGUGACACAAACAAAGCACAUGAAACAUGCACCAUUGCUGUAUGUAAAGGUCUUGUUUUGAAAGAAAAUGACUAUAGUUGUAACUCUCCUGCUCCCUCCUACAAAUAUAAUAUGCCUUUCUUUUUCUCCCUUAUACUUUAAUUGUUAAAAGUAUGUAUGUAAUAAAAUAUACUCACACAUAUGUGAAAUGACAAAUUUGUUUAUUCAUUCAACAAAUACUUAUUGGGACCUUAUUAUGUGCAAUUUGAGUCCCUGGGUGGUGCAAACAGUUAAUGCGCUUGACCGCUAACUGAAAGGUUGGAGGUUCGAGUCCGCCCAGAGGCUCCUUGGAAGAAAAGCCUUGGGAUCUACUUCUGAAAAAUCAACCAUUGAAAACUCUGCGGAGCCCAGUCCUGCUCCUACACACACUGGGCUGCGAUGAGACAGAAUCAACCUGAAGACAACUCAUUUGGUUUUUUAUGUUCCAAUUACUGUGUUCUAAGCACUGGGGGCACAUCAGUGUCCACAACCAACACAAAUUCCUGCCAUCUUUAGUGAGGGAAGCUUAUACUUUAGUGAGGAAGACAGAUGGCAAAAAAUUAACAUAAUAAAUAAGAAAAUUAUAGAGUAUAUUAGGUGGUGAUAAGUGCUACAGAAAAAAUGGUGUGGGGUGGCUGAGGGAGAGAGGAAAUGCUGGGAGGAUGUCUCUUGAGAAGGGUGCAAUCUGAGUAAAGCCUCACAGGAGCUGAAGGAGUGAGCCGAUGAGGCACUGGGUGGAGAGGGCUGAGGAACAGCAAGGAGAGGGCAGGGGGUGGUGGUGGGAAAUAGGCCCCAGGGCUAAGGGGUGGGCCAUAUGGGCCAUUGCAAGGAUUUUCGUAGGCCAUGGCAAGAAACAGGAUUUCACCAGAUAUUUUGAGAAGAGGAGUGACAUAAUCUAAUAAAAGUUACAAGGUCAGUCUUUUCAGCAUGGUUCAUUUAAGCAAAGAUUGGAAACAACCUACAUGGCCAUCAGUAAGGAGGUGAUUAAAUAAAUGCAGCCCUGGUGGCAUAGUGGUUAAGAGCUUGGCUGUUAACCAAAAGGUCAGCUGUUCAAAUCCACUAGCUGCUCCUUGGAAACCCUACAGGGCAGUUCUACUCUGUCCUAUAGGGUCGCUAUGGGUCGGAGCUGACUCAACAGCAUCUAACAACAACAUAGAAAAGAAAGCUUGUUAAAUAUAAUAAAAUAUGUUACCCAGAUAUGUUGUUAAGUGAAAAAAGCAAGGUGCAGUAUUAUGUACCAGGCAUCCUCAUGGAGAUCACCGUAUUUUCAUAAAAUACCCCCUGAGGGACCUAAGGGAAACUGAUAGCCUGUGAGGAACCUAGAGCCUCUGGAGGGCAGAGUAGGCAGGACUCUUUUCAGCCACCAUGUCCUUGCCUCUUUUCGUUUUGAACCAUGUGAAUAUAUUACCUGUCUUUCCAAAAAUGAUAUGUAAAACACAAAAAAAAUUUUUAAAAGUUAAAAAAAAAAAAACCCAAGCUAGAUGUUAUAUAAAGAAAAAGUUAAUGACCCCCCCCCCAUCUUCCAGUCCCCACCCAGAUCGUGUUAUCUUCUUUACUUGGCAACAUGAUGAACAAAAGACCAGGGUCAAUCUCCAGGCCAAGCCAAUAAAUCUAACACAUAUUAUUAUAAAUCUAACAUUUAUUAUAUUUAUUUAGUAGCUUAAGGCAUUCAUUACACGGACGUCCCAUAGUUUGAGUAGCGACGCCCCACUGGGAGCACAUUUGUUUGCAGUGUCUGUGCGUGGGCAUGCAUUCUGACGGUGCUGCGGUGAACAUCUUGGUUCAUAAUAGUUUGCCUUUUCAACUGAUUUCAAAUACUCCCUCUCAGUUGUUAUGGGAGUCCUGUGAGGUGUGGGAGGCAGUUACCUGUCUUCCCAUUUGUGGAGCAUUGUAGUAGGGAAACAGUUCUGAGACAGCCAUAUGAAGUGCUGGGUUGUAGUCCCCAGCUCUGCCUCUAACCAACUCAUUGUGUAAUUUGGCUGAGUCCUUCCCUCUUUCCGGAUUGAAUUGUGUUCCCCCAAAAUGUCUGUCAACUUAGCUAGGCCACGAUUCCCAGUAUUGUAUGAUUGUCCCCCAUUUUGUCAUCUGAUACGAUUUUCCUUUGUGUUGUAACUCCUAUCUCUAUGAUGUUGAUGAGGUGGGAUUAGCGGCAGUUAUGUUAAAGAGGCAGGACUCAGUCUAUAACAUUAGAUUGUGUUUUAAGCCUAUCUCUUUUGAGAUAUGAGAGAAGUGAGCAGAGAGACAGGGGGACCUCAUACUACCAAGAAACAGGUGCCAGGAGAAUAGUGCGUCCUUUAGACCCGGGAUCCCUGCAUUAAGAAGCUCCUUGACCAGGGGAAGAUUUAUAAUAAGGAACUUCCCCUAGAGCAGACAAAGAGAAAAAGCCUUUCCCUGGAGCUGGCACCCUGAAUUUGGACUUCUAAACUCCUAGACUGUGAAAGAAUAUUUUUCCUCUUUGUUAAGGCCAUCCACUUGUGGAAUUUCUGUUAUAGCAGCCCUAGAUAGUUAAGACACUGGGCCUCAGUCUUUCCAUCUGUCAAAGAGUGACUUGGACUAGGUGAUCCUGAGUGACUUUCCCAUUUCUAAAGUCUUCAUUGGAUUGCAAGUUUCACAAGGAGAAAAGCUAGGCUUGUUUUUUUCACUGUUUUUUUUUUUUUUAUUAUUGAGCCUGGCACCUAGUAGACCAGCAAUGGAUAUUUGUGGAAUAAACGAAUGAAUGAAUUCUUUGUCUUAUUCAAGGUCACAUAGCUUAAUCAUAGCAAAAUGUGUGAGUUCCUAUUUCUUUUUUCCUCUACAUCACACAGCCUCCCACCUCUGAAAUAUCUUUGCCCUUGACCUUUACAUCUUGUAACCACAUGAUCUUUUGCUCAUCUCUGGUACUCAUGUGAUGCGUGUUUCCCUGUCAAUGGGCCUUUUAUAUCUUGGGCCAGAGCUCUAAUCUUAGCACCGUAUUUACUACGUGUAUGGCCUUGGGCAAGUUGCCUGUCCUUGCCAAGCCCCUGUUUCCUCAUCUAUAAAUAGUUCAGUAAUUACUGUGCAGAUGUGCUUUGAAGUAAAUUAUCUAAGAUAUCGUAUAUGAAUCGCCUGGCAAAGUACCUGGUGAAUAGCAGGUGCUCAAUAAAUGGUUGCAACUGUGGGUCGAGCAGGGUGUAGUCAAUUGAUGGGCAUUUCAGUUCGACAAGUGACUAGUGGGCAUCUGUUAGAUGUGAGACAUCGGCCUAGGUGUGGGGUGGUUCAGUGCUGUGAGUAUUGUGACCUAUCCCUCAAGUAAAAAAAAAGUAGAUCAUCACAAAAUCCAAGAAACAUCCAGCUGGGUUUGUAGUGGAAUUUCUUAAGAAAUGGGUAAGUAUACUGUUGCAAAUUCCCCUCUUGCGUAGUUACUGAGUUAAAACAUACACACACACACACACACACACAGUUUUAAUCAUUUGACUUAGUUUCUAUGCUUUGCACUAUUUUUUAUGGCUUGUUGCUGAUUUCAGAGGAGACCUUAGAAAUUGGGGUGGGUUGAAAUAAUUGAGAUAGGGCAGGGGAGGGGCAGCUGAAGGGUUAUUUGCUUUCAUUUUCCUCAGAGAAAAUGAAAGAGAAUCUGAGACUCAACUCUUUAUCAAAUUCUGUUGCUGUAGAGAAUUUUAGGAACAUGAUUAGGGUCCAGAGGAAGAAAUGCAAAAGGUUACUUAUCUCAGAAAAGUGAAUCAACUAGGGCUUCUUAUGUGCAAGUUAGAGAAGACCGAAUUGGCUUAAAUAACAGUUUAUUUAGUUUAAAAUAUUUAGCAGUAGGCUAUUCUCAGGUGAGGCCUGAUCCAGGGACUCCAGUGAUUAUCACCAAGAGCUUUCCUUAGUGAUGGCUUCGUUUUCAGCUCUGGCAGCUACAGAUCCACUCUUGUGGUAGCAAAAUGAUGACGGCAGCUGCAGACCCCAUAUUCUUAUACUACAUCAUCCAGGGGAAGAGAGAGUCUCUUCAUCUGGUUCUGCACAAGCCCUGGAAUUCCUUCUCUCUCAUUGGUCUGGAAUGGAUUACGUGGCUUUUCCUGAGCCAAUCAUCAUUAAUCACUUCUGACAAAUUAAUGGUUUAAGCCAAUGUCUUAGUCAUCUAGUGCUGCUGUAACAGAAAUACCACAAGUGGAUAGCCUUAAAAAACAGAUGUUUAUUCUCUCAUAGUCCAGUAGGCUAGACGUCUGAAUUCAAUGCACCAGCACUAGGAGAAGGUUUUAUUCCUCUGUUGACUCUGGAGGAAGGUCCUUGUCAUCAAUCUUCCCAUGGUUUAGGAGCUUCUCUGUGCAGGAACCUCAGGUCCAAAGGACACUCUCUGCUCCUGGUGCUGCUUUCUUGGUGGUAUAAGGUCCCCAUGUCUCUCUGCCUACUUCUCUUUUUUGUAUCUCAAAAUAGAUUGGCUUAAGACACUAUCUAAUCCUGUAGAUCUCAUUAGUAUAACUGCCCUAAUCCAUCUCGUUAUAUCAUAGUGAUGGGAUUUACAACACAUAGGGAAAUCACAUCAGAUGGCAAAGUGGUAGACAUACAAUACUAGGAAGCAUGACCUAGCUAAGUUGACAGAUAUGUUGGGGGGACACAAUUCAAUCCAUGACAGCCAAUCAGUACCCACCUUUGGAGGUGAGAGUAGCAUCAAUUCCAACCAAUAUAAGAAGGUUAACAAUAAGGGAGUUGUGACUUCACGAAGGAAGACUGGGAUAAUAUUGGGAAGGAGAAUGGACACUAGGUAGCCAGCACACAAUAACUAUUGCCAUGAUAAAUUAUUUAUGAAGUAGCUACUACCUGUUGGAAACGGUUUUAAACAUUUUACAUGCAACAACUCAUAUAAUACUAAUAAAAACCCUAGGAGGUACUACUAUUAUUACUAUCCCAAGGAUGAGGCCACAGAGGCAGGAAGAGGUCAAGUAUGUUGCCCACCUGGGAAGCAGAAGCAUAAGAAUUGAAUCUAGCAGGAGCAGAUUAACCAGUUAGCAAGGUAUGCAUGGAUUUACAGUAAGCAAGGUACACACGGGUUUACUUGUGUUUACUUACUAAUAUGUAGUGCACAAUUUCACAUCAAAGAUGUGGUGAAAAAGAGAUGAAAUUGUGCACUACAGAUAGGCCUGUGCAUACCUUGGUUGUCGGGUAAUCCAUUCCUGGCCUAAAGACGGGGGCUCUGAGUCUCUGCUCACAACACUGUACUAUGGGUUUCGCCAGACUCAAGUUGGGACCUAGAAGUCCUUCUGCUCCACAAAAUCUUUUCCCUAAUACUAUUACUGUAAAGUGUAUUUUACCUUGAGAUGCUUUUUAAAGAAGAUGAUGCUCCCAUAUUCUAGAUCAUUCACUUGGUUGAAAGCUUUUGGGUAGUUCCAGGAUUCUUUCAAGCUUUUUAAGAGUACAUGGGAAAAACAGAGUCAUUUUUUGUUUAAAAGUACUCUUAGAAUGCUCUUAUCUUUCAUCUAUCAGUACUUACUGUCUCACAGUGGGUUGGACAUGUGUUCCUAGUCUUUUUUCUAUAAGCCUUUACUAGCAGCAGGGUUAGUGUUGCUUCCCCUCACCCUGAAGCUUUAAGGAGGCAGAGCAGAAAGGUUUGCAGAGGUGGAAGCAGCUCAGUGGAAAGAUGUUCACAAACCUCUGCUUUCUGACACCUUUACUUCCUUUUUCCCCUUUUUUACUUCCUUUCUUUUUUUUCUUCCCUCUCUCCCUCCCUCCCUCUCUUCUUCCUUCCUCCCCCUCCUUUCUUUCUUCCCUCCGUCUUUCUUUAUCUCAAGCUAUUUUCUCUCUUUUUGUUUAAUAAAACUAAUACCUUUUUUUUUUGUUUUUAAAUGUAAAAAGGACAAAUGAGAAAAAGUUAGAAAGAUCUCAUGUAGUACCAGCUUGCUCCCUUUAAUAAAUAACUACUCUUAUCUUUUCGGUGUAUUGCCCUCACUUUUUGUUGCAGAAAUUAGAUGUCAACAACAAUUGUUUUAUAGUACCAUUUCCCCUUUUAAAACGUACCUGGUUUUUUUUUUUUUCCCCACAUUAUUAAGCAUCCUUUAACAUCAUCAUUUUAAAUUGUCAGAGUGGGAAGAAAAUUGUCAGAGUGGAUAUGCUUCUUUUUAAAUUUAUUUAACCAGCUUUCUAGUUUGGACAAUUAGAUUUGAUUCCAGUAUUUUGAUGUUAAAACCUCUUUACUCAUGAGCAUUAUUUGGCUAAAUCUUUGCCCACAUUAUUGGUUAUUUCCUCAGUUUGAUGGGUCAAGUGCGCCCCUUUCUGUAGGCAGUGCCUGUCUUCUCCCGGUUACCUUCCCAGGAGGUGGCCCUCUGUCCCCACUCACGGUGCCCUCACAGGUCAUGGGUCAUUAUUACUGCAUUUUCCCACCUCUGAAGAUGGGAGGGCUUUAUCAACUUCCUUUGCUGUUGCAUCCAGAGAUGCUUGAUUUUUCAUUUCCACAUUAUCAGAUUCAGGAGUAGACUCAGAAUGCAGGAACAUGGUUGGUAUCGUUAUUGUCUUCCUGACUUUUUAUGACUGUGUAGUAUUCUCUCUUCACUGGGCACACAAUUUCAGAUAGCUCUUGGAUGGCCAGCUUGAGGAAAGGUCAUGCAAAAAUGGCAGAGAGAUUUAAUAGGUGGCCUUUUCACACUGUCUUUUUGAGAGACUACGGACCAUAUAUUAUGUUUGGUGCUUAAUGGCGGUUUUUUUUUUUGUUUUUUUUUUUUAAUUAAAUCUUCAAAACAAUCCCAUCAGGUAGGUGUUAUUCCUGACUUUAGCAAAGAGUGGCUUACGGAGAUUAAGUUAUUUUUUUCUGAGCUGGAGUCUAAACCCCAAUUCUUUCUACUUAACUCCCUAUUGUCUUUAAGGUACUUAAACCAGUUAAAGAGACCAGUUGUGCACAAAUGGAAAGUUAAAGUAAUGGUAUAAUGUGUGGAUACCAGGCUGUUGUGUAAUAUGAUAGGGGGUGGGAGGAAGAGGGACCUGGGAUGUGGUAGCCAUUAUGAGCAGCUGGGGCAUAGGGGCAUUUGGUUAUAGAAGAAGUCCUUUUGGGUAGGGGUAGUCCACCAGGGACCGUCAGCCCUCACUUGUGCCUGUAGAGACUGUGGGGAGAUGGAUCACGAGUUUGGGUCCCAGUUGAAGGGCAAGCUGAUCAGGGUACCAGCUCUACUCUCGCCCCGACAGCAGUGGCUGUAUAUUUGGGGAUUUCCAGGGUUCAAGAACUUCAAGCAUCUCAUGUACUGAGGGGGCUGCAAAUAUAAGCAUUGUCAUGACCCUUGGGGCUAUUUUUCAUAACCAUCUCUGUCAUAAUUUCCUAGUACUGAAUCAAAGAGUUAAAGGCCAAAGAGCUCUGGCAGAGAUGUCCCCAUAAUACUCUGGGGAAACAGUUGAGGUCAUCUUUCCAGUUUCACAUUUUUGUUCCUUUGAACCCACACUGUGGCAAGAUUGUCAAGCCUCUUGUAUGUCCAAUGUGAAACAUAGUGCUAGGCGAUUCCUUAAACACGGAGCCAGGUAAAACAUCAGGGUGUUUUUCUGCACAGGGUGUGUGUGCUUUUCAAGGGCCUGUGGAAAAAAAGAAAUUGGCUCCAAAAUUCAAAAAACUGUAAAAGCAAAAUCAAUAAAUGUUUAAUUAAAUGCCUACCCAGCAUGACAUCAUAACAUUGUAUCAGUUUAUGAAUUUUAACUCCAUCCCUACAUCAGUGUUACCACAAAACCAUGGAAGUUGAGGACAUAGUUCUGAAACACAUGCAAAAGUGAGGAUUACCUGUAUUUAGUAUUUACUGUGGAGCACUGGGAGCCCUGGUGGCACAGUGGUUAAGAGCUACAGCUACUAACCAAAAGGUUGGCAGUUUGAACCAACUAGCUGCUCCUUGGAAACCCUACGGGACAGUUCUACUCUGUCCUGUAGGGUCGCUAUGAGUUGGAACUGACUUGACAGCAAUGGGUUUUUUUUUUUUUUUUUGGUUUCGUGGAGUAUUGGGAUCGACUUGAUGGCAACGGGCUUGGUUUGGUUUUUGGUGGGGUAUAUGGUGUAUUUUAAAAUGUCUAAUACCAUGGAAUGGUGGUGGGGGGCGGUGAAGUAUUCACAAGUGUGAGUGGCCCUGCAUGGCAUUAAAGUAAAACAACGCAGGGCUCAAAAAUCUUCAUACCGUUGUUUCUGUUGCCUCCUAAGUAACAGGGUAGAAAAGAGCUCCAACCCAGUGAUCCAAUUAAUUUCCACAUUUAUGAGCACCUGUAAGAAAUGUAGCAUGAUAGUUAGGUCAGGCUCCAAACCAGGAGGGACAGUGUUCAUGUCACAAGGAAGACUCAUACUUCUUCAACGGUUCCCCUCCUCCCAGCAGUAGCUUACUGACUCUGUGACUCCAGAAAGUCGUUUAGCUUCUCUGAGCUUCAGUCAUCUGUACACCGUCAUCUGUAAAAUGGGUAUAGUGAUACCCAUCUCAUGAGGAUUCAAUGAGAUAAUGCAGAUAAUGUGUGUUGCACUUUGCCUGGCGCCUAAUAAAAAAGCUCAAUAAAUGAUGCUUAAAACAUCUCUGCUCAAAAAACCACCAAAAAUGAUAUAUUUUGAUUAUAAAAUGAUGAGGCGAAAUCCAUAUAUUGUCCAUGGAAACGUGAUUUAAGAUAUUUUUUAAAUUGUACUUUAGAUAAAGAUUUACAGAGCAAUUAGCUUCUCAUUAAAUAAUUAAUACACAUAUUGUUUUGUGACAUUGGUUGCCAACCCCACGACAUGUCAAUACUCUCCCCUCUUUGACCUUGGAUUCCCCAUUACCAGCUUUCCUGUCUCCUCCUGCCUCCUCGUCCUUGCCCUUGGGCUGGUGUGCCCAUUUAGUCUUAUUUUGUUUUAGAGGCCUGUUUUAUCUUCGGCUGAAGGGUGAACCUCAGGAGUGACUUCAGUACUGAGUUAAAAGGGUGUCUGGGGGCCAUACUCUCAGGGUUUCUCCAGUCUCUGUCAGACCAGUCAAUCUGGUCUUUUUUGUGACUUAGAAUUUUGUUCUACAUUUUUCUCCAGCUUUGUCCGAGACCCUCUCUUAUGAUCCCCGUCAGAGCAGCCAGUGGUGGUAGCUGGGAACCAUCUAAUUGUGAUGGACUCCGGUGGAGGCUGUGGCAGCUGUGUUCCAGUAGUCCUUUGGACUAAUCUUUCCCUUGUGUUUUUGGUUUUCUUCACUGUCGCUCCCCACAGGGUGGGACCCGUGGCAUAGCUCAAGAUUUUACAAGUUGAUUCUUACUGAAGCAAAAGGCAGGCAAUGGAGGUGCACACAGCAGGUGGCACACAGCUGUUUAAACUCUGGCCCCAAACAUUCACUUGCCUAUUUCUGAAAAACAUACCAAUCAGUCCCAGGUGUUGUGAAGCAGCCCUUAGGAAUGUAAAAGUCAACUUAACUGACUGGAACCAGGUAAUGGCACUUGUUAGCAGAAACCAGGCAGGCCUAGGUUCCUCCUGUUUUGUUCUAGUUGACUCCCACUCUAGUUAAUGGAUCUAAAUGAUUCUGGAUUUCUUUAAACAGGAAUGGCAUUAAUUGACAUCAUACAGCCUUUAACCUUUUAUAAAAGCUUCACGAACACAUCAUUUACUCUUUAAUACAGCGGGGGGUAAGAGUGUUCUUAACUGGUUACGUUUUCCUUAUCUUUCCUCCCUUCUAUCUGUCCAGUGUUUCAGCAUAUGCAACUUAGUGCCUGGAGGCUGGUUCCUAGCCUACUUGGAUGCAAGAGGCCCAGCUCCUUCGCAGAGAAGCUCACUUUCUAGUGGGAGAGAAUUGCACCAUGAUAGCUUCGAUGUCGACCCCCUGGGAGGCAGUGCAAUGUAAUAUAGAGGGCUUAGGGAUUUGGGGAGAGCAAACCUCAGUUCAAAUACUGUUUGUGCUCAUUUCUAGCUCUGUGAUCUUGGGCAAGUUUUUAAAAUCUCUCUGAGCCUCAGUUUCCUCAUUGGUAACCUGGGGAUAUUUUUUACUUUGCAGGGUUGUUGGAAGGAUUGAACAAGAACAUAUAUGUGCAGUGUCUGGCAUAUAGUCAGAGCUCAAUAAAUAUUUGCUUUAAAAAAAUUAUAAUAGAAGUUUAUAGAAACCUUUUGGGAUCCGAGAGAGUUAAUAAAACACCUCCUGGUCAGGGAAGCAAAAAUCUUUGAACUAAUGCUUUUCUGUCCACUGGUAGAUUUCCAGCGUAAAGAGGUUAUAAUUACCUUGGCUGGCCGUCUGAAUUUGCGUUUACAGACUCCAAGGGCCUAGUAAGGUCUUUCUAGUUUGGGGAGAGGAAGCUUGAAGGGCACCCAUGGAAGCAGUUAUUGUCUGCAUUUGGGCAAGUCACCUUAACUCCCUAAGAGAAAAUUCCUUUGUCAGUAAAAUGAGGAUAUAAUGCUGGCUACCUGACAUGACUGCCAUAGGAUUCAGAAAGAUCAUACGUGUGAAACGUUUAACACAGUGCUGGCACAUAGGAAGGGCCCGUUGAAACUGAACUAUUAGCGGAGACACAAGACUGCUGUGAAUUUCUGGAGAAGGGUGCUUGGGAAGAGAUUUGUGGGCCUCCUUCCUGUCAGCUCACUUCAAGCAGCAUCUGUUCAUUGAAAUGUUGAGCAGAUCUAGGCCUGGUGUGUCUGUAGCAAUGAAAAAGUGCUUUCUCCCUGAUCCUUACUCUGAGGGCCUAUUCUCUUAACAAAAGAGAAAAAGAAAAAAAAGAAAAAGCCAGCACACAUGUUAUUUAUUUAUUUUUGGUUAACGUUAAAUUGAGGUUUUGGCCGAAACUCAGCCUGUGCGUACUUGAAAAGCCAACAGGCUCGUUGGGCAGCCGAUCAAGCUCUUGGGAUUUCCCCGUGGGGCUGCGGAGAGUACAGACAGGAAGCCCGGGCACCCAACGCCUGACCAGAACUUCCGGGGGUGGCUGAAGGGGGGCAAGAGCAUCCUGCUCAGAACUCUCUAGAGUGCUCAGGCCAAACCUGUCGUCUGCUCCCAAGGGCGUGCUGGAAGAGGGUCCCCAGCCUCAACCCGGCGGUCUGAUUCCAGCAGGAAUCCGGGGGGAGCAGGGGGUGGGGGCGGGGAGGUUGAGGCUUCUCCCAGGGAGAGUCUCACACUGUCAGGCUGGAGCCUUCCAUUCUGGCCCAGCCUCUUCCCCCGUGGCCACUCUGAGGAGGGAAUGAGAAGGGACUUUCCAGAGAGCGUUAGUUAGCGUGCAGGGUGUGGAAAUGGAAUAAAAGCAUAUGCAAAUAGGCCUUUGUGUGCCUUCCUCUACCUCAGUGAGCAAGAGCGUUUCUCCAGAAAGAUGCAGUUCCUCAAGCCACUUGACGGCUCUCUUCCUCGCUUGGAUAGCAGCAGGCUGCGGAGUGGAGUGGUAAACCCCGGGCAGGAAACGUGCCAAACGAAUGAAGGAAAAAAAAAUCUCAGUUCCUCCAGUAUUACUGAAGACAGAAGAAUCAUACAUUGAAGCCCACUCUGAGUUAUUCGGCUGCCUGUGUCCUUGUUAAGCAGGAAGGAGCCCUUAUACACGACCGAUUCCAUCCUAUGGGUACAGUCAUACUUUAAAAAAUGUUAAAGUUACGUUAUUGGUAGCUUUUAAGAAACUAUAUGCCCUACUGCUCCAGGUCCCAUUAACAAUCUUUUUCAGGUUCCAUCUGUCUCCGGGCAACAAAUGUGGUUUCUUAUUUUAAAAGCUACUGUAUUUUUUCUAUUAUAUAAGUAAUAUAUGUUUGUUGCAAAGAAUUUGGAAAAUGAGGAAGUGUAUAAAAGAGAAAAAUUUUUAAUUGUUCAAUAAUUUUUUUAAGAUACAACCACUAUGUUUUUUAACAAAGAAUUUAGAAAAUUCAGAAAAUCCUAAAGGUGAAAAAAUUAUUCCUAGUCACAUAGAUGAUAAUUUUGGGGCAUUUCUUUUCAUUUUCACUUUUUUUAAAAAACAUAAUUGGGAUCAUCCUUUAAAGAUCAUUUUGGAUGUGUGUGUUUUGUUUUUUUUUAUCGAACAUUUAUCAUAAGCCUUUUCCCAUGUCCUUAGAUGGUCUUUGCAUGUAUCUUAAACGGCUGCAUACGUAGUUCAUGAAGUGGACAUGCUUUUAUUUUCCCAGUGUCCUGACUCCACACAUCUCUCUUUUUAGCCCUUUGUUUGUAUUUAUCCAGACAUUAUUUGUAAUGGCUUUAUGAGUGUAAAACAUAGUCUCCCAGACCAAAAAAAAAAAAAACCAAUGCCAUCGAGUCGAUUCCGACUUAUAGGAGCUUCUUCUUUAUUAAUACAUAAUAAUGUUAGUAGCACCCACUGAGGGUUCACUAUCUGCCAAACUCUAUUUCAAGACUUUGAACAGAUUCUCACUAAAACCCCUACCUCCCACAAUGACAGUAGGUACUGUUAUUAUUCCCAUUAUACAGAUGAUAGAACAGAGGCACAGAAAGGUUAAGGCAAAUACCAGGAGUGCAUUCCUUUGUAAAAUUCCUUUGUACACAGCAGAAAAUUCAGCUUAGAGUUUCUUGUACCAAUAGGCACUUAUUUUUUCUCAUCCAGCCUGGACAUGGGCAGCUACCAGCAUUGGUUUAGUGGCUCAGUGACAUCAAAGCUGCCGUCACUGCAGUCCCCUUCUCUCAUGCCUCUUGGUUUUUAAAAUGGCUGCAACGGCUCCAGACAUCACAUCCUAAUUCAGGGCAGGAAGAGAGCAAAACUGAUGGUGCUGACCACAUCUGCUUCACAUCAUGAAAAUACACUAAUUCCACACAUGAAUCAUUGUGUUUCACGUGACCACUCCCAAAUACAGAAGAGCUGGGAACGCGAUCGUUUACCUGUGGCAAUCUCUGGAGUAGAAGCUGUCUAGGAAAGAGGGUUUUGGGAAUGAUUGUUGUAUCAACCAACUAUCAGUGGCCGCCACAAGAUACUUACUGAGAUCAAGUAUUGGUCUCCUUUGACCUGAGCAGCCCGUUGCACACAGGAGCCAGCAACCAGCAGCUAAGAGUUGCUGUUUCUCACAUCUCCGGCCUAGAGUAGAAAUGGUCCAGAGCCUGCCAAACCCCAUCUCUCACUGAAUAUAACAUCGUGUAACAUAUGUUAACAUUUUUCAUCAAUAUUAGUGUCACUGCAAAUUGCUGUUAAAAUAGAAGUGGUUUCAUACAUUAUUUAUCUGCAGUGUGUCCACUGAGCCAUUCUUUUGCUGGAGAGCUGUCUCCUUGGUAUUUAUAAACUCAGGAACAAAUCUGCAGCUCAUUGGCUUUGUAUCCGCAGGUGGUGACAGAGGAAGCUGUUCUGGCUGAAACAAGUUGUUGCAUCUCCUCUUUUGGCCCUGAAUUUGUUUAAUAAGUGCCUGUUUGCAGGUGAUCUAAACUAGGGGCUGCACAGUGAAAAUUCUGAAAAUGAUGGCUGCACCCCAAGUCAUGAAAAAACGGUGUUAUCUUAGGAGAGGUCAGCACAACUGGACUAAACCAAAAGCAAAGAAGUUUCCGGAAUAAACUGAACUCCUUGAAGGUCUUGUGGUAGGCAGAAUAAUGGUCCUACAAAGAAGUCCACAUCCUAAUCCCUGAAACCUGUGACUGUGUUACCUUUCAUGGUAAAAAGGACUUUGCACCUGUGAUUAAGGAUCUUGGGAUGGGAAAAUUACUCUAGGUUAUUGGGGUGGGCCUGAUGUAAUCACAAGGGCCAUUAUAAGAGGGACACAGGAGGAUCACAGCCAGAAGACAAGAUGUAAGGACAGAAGCAGAAGUCAGAGAGGACAAAGAUUCUAAGAUGCUGACUUUGAAGAUGGACGAAGGCGCCAGGAGCCAAGGAAUGUGGGUGGCCUCUAGAAGCUGGAAUGGGCGAGGAAACGGAUUCUCCCUGAGAGCCUCCAGAAGGAACCUUGAUUUUAGCCAGGUGAAACUCCUUUUGGAUUUCUGACCUCCAGAACUAUAAGGUAAUAAAUAUGUGUUGCUUUAAUGCACUAAGUUUAUGGUAAUUUGUUAUAACAGCCAUAGGAAACUAAUCCAAGUGUCUAAUAUUUUCAACCACCUAUCUGUCAGUUUUUCAUACUGGGCUGGCUUGUAUGUUGCUGUGAUACUGGAAGUUAUGCCACUGGUAUUUCAAAUACCAGCAAGGUCACCCAUGGUAGACAGGUUUCAAUGGAGCUUCCAGACUAAUACAGACUAGGAAGAAAGGCCUGGUGAUCUCCUUCUGAAAAUUAGCCAGUGAAAACCGUAUGGAUCACAACAGAACAUUGUCUGACUUACUUGCCCUGCAUCAGUUAAUGUUGCAGAGGAGGACAUCGUGUUUGAUGAAGUCGAGGGCCAGCGAGGGUGAGGGAGACCCUUGGUGAGAUGGAUUGGCACAAUAGCAGCAAUGAUAGACUUGAACAUGCUAUCGGUUCUGAGGAUGACACAGGACUGGACAACAUUUUGCUCUGUUGUACGUAGGGUCACCAUAAGUUAGAGUUCACUUGUUGGUACCUAUGAAUCGACCGAUCAAUCAGUUGAUUGAUCAAUCAAUUUAUUAUCUACCUAACAUUUUUAAAGGCUCCUGAAAAGCUUAUAGGCUUUAAUCACUGUUCCUAAAUCAUUGAUGGCAGGAAUAAUCUUGCCCAAAACUUCUAGGUUUGCCUCAUUAAAAAAAUAAAAGGUCAAAUAGCAUCCCACUGUGUGGAUGGACUGUAACUUAACUAAUCAUACUGCAAUCAAUAAGCUAUACACUAUUUGUUUUUGUUUUCCUUCUAUAAGCAAAGCUCCAGCGUGCAUCCUUCUACACCAAGGGUUUACAACCCUGGUUGUACAUUAGAAACACUUGUAAAACCAGUUGCCUUCAAGUUGGUUGCAACUCAGGGUGACCUACAGAGUAGAACUGUAUUCUGUAGGGUUUUCAAUGGCUGAUUUUUUCAGAAGUAGAUCACCAGGCCUGUUUUCUGAGAUGUCUCUGGGUGGGCUCAAACUGCCAAUCUUUUGCUUAGCAGCUGAGCUUGUUAACUGUUUUCACCACCCAGGGACUCCAGAAUCACCUGUAGAGCUUUUAAAAUGUUCUUACACACGGGCCCUACUACCAGACAUUCUGAUUUUAUUGGUCUGAGCGCUUUCUUGGCACAAGCAUUUUUAAAGCUCUCCAGAUGAUUGCAAUGGGCAGCCAGGGCUGAGGGCCACUGUCCUACAUGCACCUUUGACCACUUGUGCUGUGUCUUAUCUAGUCCAGAACAUCCCCUUGCUAUCUGACAUUAACCCGGAAGCAGGCUCUUGUCAUUAUCUUUUUAAUGAAUGAUGUUGAAAUGACCUUCCCUAUAGUCUAUGCUCUUACAGCCUUGGCAGUGGCGAAAACUGCCCCAUAGUUUCCCUCUUCUGUAAAACAUGUGCACUCAUACCCUCCCCCAGCAGAGAUGUUUGUCUUUUAAUUGCCAGGGAGGAGGGAAACAGAACAUUAAAAAGACAAGCUUCAUUGAAGGGAUCAGGAUGGUAGCUCAUUCCUUAUCCUUAAUAGAGUCUCUGAGUUAGUUGUUUUCAUUAUGUAAAUUCUGGCAUUGAAGAAAUAGUCAGUGUUGAAAGAUUAGGACAGAUUAAUAAGUGAAAAGAAAAAUAUAUAACCAUCUUUUUUCUAUUUAAUGAAGAAUAAUGAGAAUCAAGUCCAAUCAUUUUAAUCAACAGCAGUGUUCAAGUGCAAAUGUUAUAUUCUGAGUUUGAGAAACUGAAUGACUAGUGACAGAUGCAGAGAAUUUUUUUGUCACUGUUGUAUAUACUCAGAGGCAGAUGUGACUCUAUGAUCCAAGCCCAAAAAAGCGGGGGAUAUUCAAAGUAUUUCACAGCUGGGGCAGUGUGGACACUGGGACAGGCCAGUACACUGCUCCGGUCCAUUCUAUUGGUCCUGCAAAUACGUUUGAUGCAGGGUAUUAAGGUUCCCCUGCUCUCACAAAGCUACUCCACUUGCCUCUCACCUUGGCUAGAUUCCACCAGACACUCCAGUCAAGAUUUUAUCUUUCCUGGGAGGUAGGGUGUGCGUAUAUGUGUGUGACAUUAGCUCUUCAGUCAUUUUUAGCUUUGGCCUUGGUUACUUUAUAGUUUAUAACAUAAGCAGAUUCCUCAUUUGGAUGGUGCCCAGAUGGAUGGAAUAUGGGAUAGGUCCGUGUUGAUGGGGAGAGAGAAAAUUAAGGACUGUGGGCUCCUGCCUGGGGAGAACAGUCCUCCCUCCUGAAGUGCUAUAGUUAGAGAUAGGGAUGGGAUGGCAUGAAAUGAGAAAGGACCUGAAGAUCAGACUGGCCUAUUAUUACCAUUAUGCCAAGUAAUUAACCUUACCAGAGGAUAGUAGGUCUGGAAGGAAUUUUAAAACCCAAAAAACAAAAACACCAAAUCAGUUGCCAUUGAGUCAAAUCUGACUCAAAGUGACCUCAUAGUCUAUCAGAGUAGAACUGUGCUCCAUAAGGUUUUCAGUGCCUGUGACAUUUUGGAAGUAGAUACCCAGGUUUUUGGGUGGAUUCAAACCUCCCAUCUUUCAGUUAGUAGCUGAGAGCUUAGCUGUUUACACCACAAAAGAACUUGGAAGGAACUGUCACAGUCAUUGAUUUUACCUGUUCUCAGAGAGGGAAAUUGACUUGGCAAGGCCACACAGCUAUUUAGCUUGGCAAAGUAGAAAGAACUUUAGUGUUGGAACUGGGUUGAAGAUCUGGCUCUAUUUCUAAUAAGAUGUGGCUCUUUCACUCUCCUUGAGACUUAGAUUUUCUCAACUGCCAAAUGGGGAUAACUUUCCCACAGAGUGUCAAAGAGUAAAUUAAAAAAAAAAAAAAAAAUGACUCCCAUACAAAAGAGAAUGAAUGUGUGUCAAAGAUUUUAUUCAACUAAUGAAUGAAUGAAUUAAUCAGUAAGAUGGUACAGCUGGCUCAAAACAGAAUUUGAAGAAAAGAGACUUAUAUAGUAAGUCAAAGGAAUGCUGAAAUGACUGCUAAAAGAUACAGGGCAAGGUAAUAGUAAUCUUUGGGACAGAAAUCUGCAAGUUAACACAUAACUUCACAAUGCUUAUUCUUUAAUCAAGUAGUGAAUAUCAAAAUCAAACAAAGGAGGAUUCUACUUGAUAAAUAAUUCUUUGAUGAGCCUGUUAAUGGAUGGCAUCGGAAGGGCCUGCAUACAUCCCUUAUUUUAUUUCCAAGUUUUGUAUUAUUUUUCUUAGUAAGGGUUAAUAUGAGGAUGUGAUGAAAAAAAUCUAAUGAAGUGUCCCUCUAAUGUUAUCGUUCAGAAGGAAAAUAUGCUCCUGGACUUUUCUGGGCUCUUGAUUCUUAAAGGGUGCCUGAAUGGCACAAAUGGGGUUGCACUCGACUGCUAACCUAAAGGUGAGUGGUUCGAACCCACCUAGUGGUACUGUGAGAGCUAGGCCUGGCUAUCUGCUUCAAUUAAGAUAACAGGCGGGAAAACCUUCUGGAGCAGUUCUUCUCUGUAACGCUUGGGGUCGCCAUGAGUUGGAGUCAACUCUACAGUAACUUUUUUUUUUCUUUCUAUUUUUAAAGACUCCAUCCAUCUACAUACCUCCCAUGUACAUGCUGCAGGAAGAAGUUGUCCUUGGAAGGAAAAAGUCUAUCAAUCCUCCAGAUAUCAAUUAGCCAAACUGCUGAGUAUUUGAAAUCCUAGGCUCAGGGGGGCCUAUUCUUUGCUUGAAGCCAAAAUAAACAGAUCCUUGUCAGUUUAGCCAAGGAACAGUAGAAAUAAGCCAAAGGUUUAAAGUCUUUGGAGCAGAAGGCCUAUUGAGUUGGAGGUGUAGGCUGGGCAAUGAGAGCUAUACUCUUCUUUUCCUUAGUGGGGUGUGGUGCCCCAAAUCAUCUCACUUCCUUUCUUUCUCACCUCAGUGGCCAAAUCUGGCCACAUACCUUGGUGAUUCUCCAACCAAGUUCAGUCCAUGGCCAUGAGAUCUGGUCAGGGCUGACUCAGCCUCAGCCAUGGUUCUCAUGAGGAAGCCUAUUUUUGAAUUUGCUUCUGUUUGCAUUUCAAACAGGUUAAUUAUUUGUUUAAAAAACAGGCUAUCUCUUGAUCUUAGGCUGGCAGUAACCCCACUGAAAGAGUAUUCGGAAAUACCACAUAUAUUUGUAUUUCCCAUGGCUCAUGACCCUGAUCUGAACCAUCUGGCUACUCUCUUGAACACACAUGCAGAGAUGGAGAAGAGAUUUCCAUAAAUUAACCUCAGCUUCUAGCAGGGCUGUUAUUGACCAUAUUGUGAAGUCUGCCUUUAACCUGGUUAGAUAUCCCCAACCCCAUCGAAUGCUCAGGGUCUUCUACCUCCUAGUUACUCUUCAAAACUUACACAUGGUGAUAAAGACUCCAUUCAUUCGUGCCAAGGAGUAAAUAGAUUUUAGUUUUUUUAAUCGUCCUAGAGAUUUAGUUUUUAAGAAAUGUAUUUUUUUUUCAACAUAUAACAAAAGUUAUUGUUCAUUAAUAAGAUUUUGGGAAAUACAGAAUUGUAUUAAGAAGAAAAUUUAAAUCACAUGUAAUACCACUAUACAGAGGUAACAAAUGUUAACAUUUGGCUGUAUUUUCUUCCAGACACACACACACUUAAAUAAAUUGAGAUUUUACUGUGCUAAUUAUUUUAAAUUGAGGUUGAAGCCAGCAAAGCUACAAUUUCAUAUAAGAAUCAGGGGCUUGCACAGACUUUUUGUUUAUGGUAGAGUAGGGGGAGUAAAAGGUGGUGGAAAUGGGCAGUGGGAGCUUACAGAGGUACCUCCUUUAAAAGAAACGAUCCUCUGGCCACUUGUUGGGUUGGUAGAGAUGGCUUCUUAGAUAGAAGAUUUUUGGAGCUCUUGAUGUUACUGUAUGUGCAGGGAGUAGCAGAAUCUAAGGUAUUGUUUUUCCCGUUUAAGAAUGUAUGUGUUCCACACAACCAAAUACUUAGAGGGACAAAGUUGCAGGGGUGGGGGUCUAGGGACCAUGAUUUUGGGGGACAUCUAGGUCAACUGGAAUAACAAAGUUUAUUAAGAAAACGUUCUGGUUCCCACUUCAGUGAGUGGCAUCUGGGGUCUUGAAAUCUUUCAAGUGGCCAUCUAAGAUGCACCAAUUUGUCCCAACCCACCUGGAGCAAAGGAGAAUGAAGAACACCAAAGACACAAGGAAAAUAUUAGCCUAAGAGACAAAAGGGCCCCAUAAACUAGAGAACCCAUCAGCCUGAGGCCAGGAGAACUAGAUGGUAACCAGCUACCACCAAUGACUGACCUGACAGGGAACACAACAGAUAGUCCCUGGCAGAGCAGGAGAAAAAAAAGUGUGGUGCAGAACUCAAAUUCAUGUAAAAAGACUAAACUUAAUGGUCUGAUUGAGACUAGAAGAAUGCCAGGAGACAUGGCCCCCAGACUCUCUGUUAACCUAGAAUGAAAGCCAUUCCUGAAGCUGACUCUUUAGACAAAGAUUAGACUGGACUAUAAAACAUAAAAUAAUACUCGUGAAGAGUGUGCUUCUUAAUUCAAGUAGAUACAUGAGACUAAAUGGACAGCUUCUGUUGGGAGACAGGAUGAGAGGGCAGAAAAGGGUAGGAGCUGAUUGAAUGGACACAGAAAACCUGGGUUGAAAGGAGGAGUAUGCUGUCACAUUAUAGGAAUUGCAACUAAGGUCACAUAAUAAUAUGUGUAUAAAUUUUUCUAUUAGAAAUUAACUUGAGAUAUGGACUUUCACUUAAAGCAUGUACACACACACACACACACGAAAGAAUGUAUGUGUUCCAGCCUUCAAAGCUUUGUAUGUGACAUCAAUGCUCACCAAGUUACCAAAGGUAAAACUUGAUUCUCACAUUUUCUCACUUCUUACAUUCUGAAGGUUCUACCUUUAAAUGUAUCCUGACUCUGAUCACUUCUCACCAUCUUCACCAUUACCACCUUGAUCCAAGUCUCCAUCAUUUUCACCUGUAUGAGUUCAAUUAAUACUGUAGUCAAAGUUCGUUGAUAUCCCUUUAGUGAACAUUUGGUACCAACUUGAAUGUGAGCAUGUAUUAUCAUACCAAAAAAGAAAAAGAAAAAGAAAAACAACCCCUUUGCCAUCAAGUUGAUUCCAACUCAUAGUGACUCUAUAGGACAAAGUAGAACUGCCCCAUAAGGUUUCCAAGGAGUGGCUGCUGGAUUUGAACUGCCCACCUUUUGGUUGGCAGUGGUAGCUCUUAACCACUACACCACACUGGGACUCCAUAGUCUAUCCCAUUUUAUCUAGGAAGAACCUGAGGUUCGGAGAGGUUGAUUUGUCCAAGGUCACACAGUUGAUAAGAGGACUGCAGCUUCAAACCUUGACUGUCUUACUCCAGAAGUCACUACCUCAGACUGCUUCCUUCAGCCACUUAGAGACUGGGACCACCCAGUUCUUGACAAUGCGUUAGAAGAAAAGAACUUAAAGUGUAACUUCCCCACCAGCAGAAUUUGCAUUUCGCCCCCACUCUUCUCUUUUCUUCUGCCCAAGUCAACUUAUUCUGUAAGACCUAACUCAUUUUUUAUCUUCUCAGUGAAACUUGUUCCAUUCAUCCCAUUUCCUAUCUUUUUUAAAUUGUGGUGAAUAUAUUUAUACAUAUAUUUGCCAUUUCAACACUUUUUAACAUGUACAAUUCACUGAUAUUAUGUUCAUCAUGUUGUGCAAAUAUAACUAAUAUUUGUUUCCAAUUUUUUCCAUCACCUUUAACAAAAUCUUGGUGACCCCAAGAAAGGACUCCCUCUUUCCCCUUCUCUAGCACCUCGGUGGACUUUAAGACAAAAAGGAGUGAAUCUCUGAUAGAGGAAUGGAAAGUUCUGGGAUGUCUCUUUGUCUUCAUGCUAAGGAGUCAGACUGCCCAAGUUGGAUUCUCAGCUUCCUUGCUUAGUAGCUAGAGACCUUAGGCUGAUCUCUCAAUUUUGAUAGCCUUCAUUUCCCAAUAUGUAAAUAAGGGUGAUGAUAAAAUACUACCUACCUUAUGAACAUGGGUAUGAAGAUUGAUUAAGAUAACAGACAUAGAGCACUUGCCUAGAGCCAAGGCAGAUGGUAAGUGCUCCUGGUAAACUAAAAUGCAAGUAUCCUAGAAGACCUUUGCUGUGACCCCAAAGAAUAUAAUAAGGAAAGUGAGAAUUUGAAUUGUUGACAGUAUGGGCUGGAAAGGAAGCAUAGAAAAAUCAUAGUGUAUUUUCAAAAAUUGUCUGGAAAAGCAAAGACAGAGAGUGGCAUUCCCCUUUACCUCACAAACCCGUACAUCCCAUCCCCAUAUACUAUUCACUGUUGAGAUCUUCUGUGACCAGAAGGAAAAAAGUCUUUGAGUAAGAUUUUAUCUUUACUAAUUGAGUCAAACAAGUGCUCUUUGUAAAUCCAAAUAAACACAUAAUACAUUAAGGACUUAGAAUCCUGUUUUAUUUUUCUUUUCUGGGUCACUGUACUUGAAGCAGUAGAAACCAGAUAAGUAGGCAUCCACUCAAUAAAUAGGCGUCCACUAGAAGGAACAAUACAAGGGUGCCCAGCCUUUCAUUGGCUGAAAUAAUAGCAUAUCAAAAGCCUGAUUCUCUACUUGGGGACAAAACACAAAGGAAUAAUUUAAGUUGUCAAUUUAACAAAAGAAAAG